AAAGAGUCAAAUGUCAUUAAUAGGACAACAAAACACCUGUGCAACUCAGAAGACGUACAGUGAUCCAGGCUGGUGACGAGAAGAUCUGACACGCCGUCGAAGUCCUGGUCACAGUGAGUCAGCAACACUCAAAGGAGCUUGGAGUUAACACUAUCAAGGCGCUUUGAGAUGAACACACCUGAGAUCAUCUAGCUUUAAAUGAUCAUGGAACAAAGGCUCCAGCCCGUUCCAGGUGAAGACACCACCCCUGGCCAUCAGGGAGCUUCCCUGAUUCCGGUAAACAGAGAAAGGUGAGAGUCCUGUGAUCCCCAAUAGGUAGGGUCUGCGCCCCUUCAUUCUUUGCAGCUUCAUUCUUUUUUUUUUUUUUUGGCACAUUUUGUCCAAUUCUUUGUUCAAGAUGCCAAGAACCUGGACACCCUCUUCUGAUAACACAAUCUUCUCCCAGGUACCAACCUCCUAACAUCAUCACCUUGGGGGUUAACGUGUGGUAUAUAAAUUUUGUGAGAAUGUAAAAAUUCUGUCCAUUGCAUUAGGCAAAUGGAGGCUGUAGGAGCAGGAUCAUUCUUUACAACAGUUAGUGUUUUGGGGCUGCUCCCUGCCCCUCAAUCCGAGGCCUGCCCCAUCCCCGCCUGGGUUUUCAUGCUACCCUGGGCUACUUCUUCCAGGUCCUGGACCCCCAGCAGAGGCUCUGGCUCUCAUAGUAUCUCCUGAGACUCAAUCCCUGCCCCCGAAAC
Long non-coding RNA from Cebus imitator (Panamanian white-faced capuchin), 734 nucleotides. RefSeq lists it as uncharacterized. Lineage: Eukaryota; Metazoa; Chordata; Mammalia; Primates; Cebidae. The transcript is spliced from 3 exons. The record is from RefSeq and is a predicted model, not a curated record.